ACUCGCCUUGAUAAGAAUGAAAGAGGCCCUUGUGGCUUCUUCACAAUAUACAUCUGGGGAAGGCCUUGCCACCUACUCUGGCAUCUAACCAUGUUUUUUC
Molecule: small nuclear RNA, 100 nt
Organism: Vombatus ursinus (common wombat)
Lineage: Eukaryota; Metazoa; Chordata; Mammalia; Diprotodontia; Vombatidae
Source: Ensembl